AGAGUUUGAUCCUGGCUCAGAGUGAACGCUGGCGGCAUGCCUAACACAUGCAAGUCGAACGGUAACAGGCCCGCAAGGGUGCUGACGAGUGGCGGACGGGUGAGGAAUACAUCGGAAUUUACCCAGUCGUGGGGGAUAACGUAGGGAAACUUACGCUAAUACCGCAUACGACCGAGAGGUGAAAGCGUGGGACCGCAAGGCCUCGCGCGAUUGGAUGAGCCGAUGUCGGAUUAGCUAGUUGGCGGGGUAAAGGCCCACCAAGGCGACGAUCCGUAGCUGGUCUGAGAGGAUGAUCAGCCACACUGGGACUGAGACACGGCCCAGACUCCUACGGGAGGCAGCAGUGGGGAAUAUUGGACAAUGGGGGCAACCCUGAUCCAGCAAUGCCGCGUGUGUGAAGAAGGCCUUCGGGUUGUAAAGCACUUUUAUCCGGAACGAAACGUGUUGGGUGAAUAGCCCAGCAAACUGACGGUACCGGAGGAAUAAGCACCGGCUAACUUCGUGCCAGCAGCCGCGGUAAUACGAAGGGUGCAAGCGUUACUCGGAAUUACUGGGCGUAAAGCGUGCGUAGGUGGUUUGUUAAGUCUGCUGUGAAAGCCCCGGGCUCAACCUGGGAAUGGCAGUGGAUACUGGCGAGCUAGAGUGCGGUAGGGGGUAGUGGAAUUCCCGGUAGCGGUGAAAUGCGUAGAGAUCGGGAGGAACACCAGUGGCGAAGGCGGCUACCUGGACCAGCACUGACACUGAGGCACGAAAGCGUGGGGAGCAAACAGGAUUAGAUACCCUAGUAGUCC
Molecule: ribosomal RNA, 791 nt
Filed under: uncultured bacterium
Lineage: Bacteria
Description: bacterial SSU rRNA
Rfam family: Bacterial small subunit ribosomal RNA
Source: RNAcentral